CAAACCUCAAGCAUGGCUUGGUGUUGGGCGCCUGUCCCGCCGCUUCGCGCGCGGACUCGCCUCAAAGUCAUUGGCGGCCGGCGUUCUCGACAUUCCGCACGCAGCAGACUGCGCGAUGCGAACUCGGGGAGCCUGGCGUCCAAGAAGCUUUUUCUUCCAA
This 160-nucleotide unclassified non-coding RNA is filed under the name uncultured Dothideomycetes. Its description in RNAcentral is "sequence contains ITS2". Lineage: Eukaryota; Fungi; Ascomycota; Dothideomycetes. The record is from RNAcentral.